This 225-nucleotide ribosomal RNA is filed under the name uncultured bacterium. Its description in RNAcentral is "partial 16S ribosomal RNA". It matches the Rfam family "Bacterial small subunit ribosomal RNA", at positions 109 to 334 of the family's 1533-position model. The record is from RNAcentral.
CGUAACGCGUAUGCAACCUACCUUGAACAGGGGGAUAGCCCGGAGAAAUCCGGAUUAAUACCGCAUAACAUAAUGAGGCAGCAUUGUUUUAUUAUUAAAGAUUUAUUGGUUCAAGAUGGGCAUGCGUGUCAUUAGCUAGUUGGUGAGGUAACGGCCCACCAAGGCGACGAUGACUAGGGGAUCUGAGAGGAUGACCCCCCACACUGGUACUGAGACACGGACCAG